GAUGAACGCUGGCGGCGUGCCUAAUACAUGCAAGUUGAGCGAUCGAACUUGAAGCUUGCACCUCUUUUGUUAGCGGCGGACGGGUGAGUAACACGUGGAUAACCUACCUUUGAGACGGGGAUAACUUUGGGAAACCAAUGCUAAUACCGCAUAACAUCUUUAACCAUAUGGUUUAAAUUUGAAAGAUGCACUUGCAUUACUCAAAAGUUGUACCGCGUCGCAUUAGCUAGUUGGUAAGGUAAAGGCUCACCAAGGCAACGAUGCAUAACCGACCUGAGAGGGUGAUCGGCCACACUGGAACUGAGACACGGUCCAGACUCCUACGGGAGGCAGCAGUAGGGAAUCUUCCGCAAUGGGCGAAAGCCUGACGGAGCAACGCCGCGUGAGUGAUGAAGGUCUUCGGAUCGUAAAACUCUGUUAUUAGGGAAGAACAUAUGUGUAAGUAACUGUGCACAUCUUGACGGUACCUAAUCAGAAAGCCACGGCUAACUACGUG
RNAcentral lists this ribosomal RNA (496 nucleotides) under uncultured bacterium. RNAcentral describes it as "partial 16S ribosomal RNA". It matches the Rfam family "Bacterial small subunit ribosomal RNA", at positions 28 to 507 of the family's 1533-position model. The record is from RNAcentral.